This 618-nucleotide ribosomal RNA is filed under the name Triticum aestivum (bread wheat). RNAcentral's name for it is "partial small subunit ribosomal RNA". The record is from RNAcentral. Lineage: Eukaryota; Viridiplantae; Streptophyta; Magnoliopsida; Poales; Poaceae.
AUGGCCAAAGCCGCCGCGUCGCUUCUCCCGGGUCUUCUCCCGACCCCGCCGACGAAGCCCUGCCUCAUCAUCCUGCCGGCUUCGUUCGCCUCCAAGACCAAGCCCGGCCGCGCCGACUCUGUCGAGAGGUGGGACGCGCACAAGAAGGACAAGAAGCCCCGGAGCCCAGCCUCGUCGUGCUCCAGCAGCUCAAGUCCAGGGCGCGCCUCCUCCUGCGAGCGUUGGGACAUAAACAAGCAGUUGUCCAGCGGCAGCCGCACGUCCUCAUCAUCAUCGUUGUCAAGCCAGCGAAGCAGCACGAGCUCCGGCGGGGCCACACCGUGCGGGAGGUGGGAUAGCAACAAGCGGCUGCCGCCCAGCCGCACGUCCUCCGCUGAUCGCUGGGACACGCACAAGAAGCCUAGCCCGGCACAAGCUGCCGCCGAGAGCUGGACGAGCGACAAGCAGGACCACAAGGAGGACGACACUACGGCGAUGGUUCUGAAACCGACAUCGCCGCGCAUAGGCCCCAUGUUCUCUGGCUCGAGCUUCCUCGCCUCGCCUGACCCCAGCAUGCUUCCAAUGCCGCCCUUCUUUCGCUCGCGGAACACGGGAGUGCUUCCCGUACAAGCCUUCUAG